This 211-nucleotide long non-coding RNA is filed under the name Gossypium raimondii (Peruvian cotton). RNAcentral describes it as "long non-coding RNA (GRAI_LNC010438)". The record is from RNAcentral. Lineage: Eukaryota; Viridiplantae; Streptophyta; Magnoliopsida; Malvales; Malvaceae.
UUUUUCACAUUCUCUCAUUCUCUCUUUAAGAGAUUUUCUUUCUUUUUUCUUUUCCAAGAGAAGUAAGCUUAGUGAGUGUGAGUAAUGGAAGAAAUAAGCUUCCUUCAAGAUAGGUUGUGGCAUCCCAAAGAGGAAAUGGAGGAGAAGUUGUGCACACCACCGCAACAUCCACCGUGAAACAACUCUAUUUCCUUUUACUCUUUAAAAUUCU